This 572-nucleotide long non-coding RNA is filed under the name Neodiprion pinetum (white pine sawfly). RNAcentral describes it as "uncharacterized LOC124211183". Lineage: Eukaryota; Metazoa; Arthropoda; Insecta; Hymenoptera; Diprionidae. The record is from RNAcentral.
AACUCGACUUCCAAGACAAACGCUCCGUGGUUCUGGCCGUCCAGGUCCUUGACCUGGUGACUUUUGACCUUCAGGACUAAUUUUCCGUAGUUCUGGCUGUCCAGGUCCUCCACCUGAUGGAUCUUGACAUCCAGGAAAAGUGCUCCGUAGUUCUGGCUGUCCAGGUCCUUGACCUGGUGACUUUUGACCUUCAGGACUAUAUUUCCGUAUAACCCGUGGUGGAUAGCGGUGGUCGUUGGAGGUGGUUAGCGGUGGUUGAAGAGGGUCGGAGGUGAACAAGGGGGAGGACGACGAGGAAGACGAGGAGAACGAGAUGGACAAAGAUGACGAAGAUUUGUGCACGUAUUCGAGGUAUAACCCGAGUUGGUUUGCAGUGGUCAUUGGAGGUGGUUGGGGGUGGUUGCGGCCGAUAGAGGUGGACGAGAAGGAGGAGGAUCAGAAUUAAAGUAGAAUAAGGAUCAGGAGUAGGAACAGGAGUAGAAGUAGGACUAGGUGUAGGAUCAAGAGAGGAAGUGGGAGCGGGAGUGGGAGUACCCUACCCUACCCUACCUUACCGUACCCUAACCUACCCU